RNAcentral lists this ribosomal RNA (1165 nucleotides) under uncultured bacterium. RNAcentral's name for it is "bacterial SSU rRNA". It matches the Rfam family "Bacterial small subunit ribosomal RNA", at positions 1 to 1120 of the family's 1533-position model. The record is from RNAcentral.
UACCGGUAAACCCGUUACCUCACGUAACGCUGGCCGCUAUGAUGACAGGCCGCGGGAAUUCGAUUAGAGUUUGAUCCUGGCUCAGUAUUGAACGCUAACGGCGUGCUUAACACAUGCAAGUCGAGCGGCAGCACAGUAGUAGCAAUACUAUGGGUGGCGAGCGGCGGACGGGUGAGUAAUACAUAGGAAUCUGCCUUGUAGUGGGGGAUAACCCGGGGAAACUCGGGCUAAUACCGCAUAAUCUUUACGAAGCAAAGUGGGGGACCGUAAGGCCUCACGCUAUAAGAUGAGCCUAUGUCGGAUUAGCUAGUUGGUGGGGUAAAGGCCUACCAAGGCAACGAUCCGUAGCUGGUCUGAGAGGAUGAUCAGCCACACUGGGACUGAGACACGGCCCAGACUCCUACGGGAGGCAGCAGUGGGGAAUAUUGGACAAUGGGCGAAAGCCUGAUCCAGCAACGCCGUGUGUGUGAAGAAGGCCUUAGGGUUGUAAAGCACUUUUAGUGGGGAAGAAAAGUUCAAGGUUAAUAUCUUUGAAUGCUGACGUUACCCACAGAAAAAGCACUGGCUAACUCUGUGCCAGCAGCCGCGGUAAUACAGAGAGUGCAAGCGUUAAUCGGAAUUACUGGGCGUAAAGCGCACGUAGGUGGAUGUUUAAGUCGGAUGUGAAAGCCCUGGGCUUAACCUGUGAAUUGCAUUCUAUACUGGGCGUCUAGAGUAUAGUAGAGAGAAGUGGAAUUUCCGGUGUAGCGGUGAAAUGCGUAGAUAUCGGAAAUAACACCAGUGGCCGAAAGCGGCUUCCUGGACUAAUACUGACACUUAUGUGCGAACGCGUGGGUAGCAAACAGGAUUGCUACCCUGGUAGUCCACGCCGUCUACGAUGAUGACGAGAUGUUCGGAGAGCUUGCUCUUUAGCAUCGAAGCUAACGCGUUAAGUUACUCUCUUGGGAGUACGGCCCGCAAGGUUUAAAACUCAAUGCAAUGACAGUGCCCGCAUUAUGGUGGGAACUAUACGAUCAACUCCAUGCACGCUGAAAACCUACCUACCUUUGACAUACUGGGAUUCGUUAUAGUAAAGGACGGCCUCGGAACGAGAUCUGUUCUUGUUGCAUGUCCACUCUAGACUGUGACUUGGUAUUUCUACAGCGACUUUGCCUUAGUCAUUCCA